UUGUUUGUAAAUGCAGCACUAUUAAGAUUCUCAAAUAUUCUGACAUUUAAAAAGCAAUUAAAUGUGAAUCUUGAUGAUGCUGCAUUAGCAAUAAA
Molecule: microRNA precursor, 95 nt
Filed under: Solanum lycopersicum (tomato)
Lineage: Eukaryota; Viridiplantae; Streptophyta; Magnoliopsida; Solanales; Solanaceae
Description: mir-172 microRNA precursor family
Rfam family: mir-172 microRNA precursor family
About the family: mir-172 has been experimentally verified in Arabidopsis thaliana. This family is thought to target mRNAs coding for APETALA2-like transcription factors. The mature sequence is excised from the 3' arm of the hairpin.
Source: Rfam by way of RNAcentral